GAUGAACGCUGGCGGCGUGCCUAAUACAUGCAAGUCGAGCGAACGGACGAGAAGCUCGCUCCCUUGAUGUUAGCGGCGGACGGGCGAGUAACACGUGGAUAACCUACUUAUAAUACUGGGAUAAUUUCGGGAAACCGGUGCCAAUACUGGCUAAUACUUUGUACCGGUUGGUUCAAAAGUGAAAGACGGUUUUGCUGUCUCUUUUAGAUGGAUCCGCGCUGCAUUAGCUAGUUGGUAAGGUAACGGCUUCCCAAGGGAACGAUGCAUAGCGGACCUGAGGGUGAUCGGCCACACUUGAACUGAGACACGGUCCAAGCUCCUACGGGAGGCAACAGUAGGGAAUCUUCCGCAAUGGGCGAAAACCUGACGGAACAACGCCGCGUGGGGGGUGGAAGUCUUCGGGUCGUAAAACUCUGUUAUUAGGGAAAAACAUGUGUGUGAGUAACUGUGCGCAUCUUGACGGUACCUAAACAGAAAACCACGGCUAACUACGUG
This 495-nucleotide ribosomal RNA is filed under the name uncultured bacterium. Its description in RNAcentral is "partial 16S ribosomal RNA". It matches the Rfam family "Bacterial small subunit ribosomal RNA", at positions 28 to 507 of the family's 1533-position model. The record is from RNAcentral.